RNAcentral lists this long non-coding RNA (4267 nucleotides) under Equus caballus (horse). RNAcentral describes it as "lncRNA (ENSECAG00000049972.1)". The record is from RNAcentral. Lineage: Eukaryota; Metazoa; Chordata; Mammalia; Perissodactyla; Equidae.
AUGAGAGGAGGCAAUAGGAGGGGUCAAAUUGGCAAUCUUUCAAAGCCAUCUUCCAAAUUCCUUUUUCCUACUGGCCUUUUUUUCCACUGCAACUCAUCCCAACUCAAGAAAGCGGGCUUUUCCUUCCAUUCACUGGUGGGAGGAGUAUUCUCUAACCACAGCAGGUGAAAGGAAAAGCAAAGUUCUGCAAAAUUCCAGGAAGAUGAAGCACGUGCGUGGUGUGGUGCCAGAGGACUACUCGUGUCCACAGCCACACUGCUCUUGACAGCGUCUCCUGCUGCACUGCUGGGCCUGCAACAGAAUCCUGGGAAAUCAGAUUGCUAGCGACAGAAAGGAACUCCACGUCUAUUUAGUCCAACUUCCUCCAAUGAGGAAAUGAAGUUGUAGGAGGAUUCACAGGAAGCGAUCAUUAUGUCAGAAUCUGUGAAGAUCAGGUUCUAAUUAUCAAGGGGUGAAAACCAACAUGCAAAUAUUUGCUAUUGAUAAGAUACUUAGAAAUCAGAAUGGCUUCUCACGCCCAUAGUAAGCUCUCCUCACAGGACUUGCAAAUUUGAGUUUACUGCUCCCACACUAAUUAGGCAAAGAAAGCAGGCCUGGAGUGUACAUGUCGUAUAUGCCCUAGAAAAUGGCCAUUGUACUUUGCUGCACGGAGACACUGCUACUGAGGGUGUCCCAGCAUAGCCAGGAAAUGGCAGAGGUGAAGGUCGUGGUCUCUGGUAUGGUAAUGGGUGGGGUCACAGACAAUGGCAGACUUUAAAGUGUGUGUACCACUAAGAGACCAUCCAGAGGAUUAUGAAGAAAGCUGGUAUUGGAGUCAGAAACAAACAUUAGACUCCGUGAAGUCUAAGUUGUCCAUGAAGGACCAACACUAAGAGUUCAUCAUGGUCUUGUGAACCCCCAGCACCGUGCCUGUCUCAGAAGAGGAGUUCAAAACUGUGAAUGAACAAAUUAACUGCCUGGGUUCAGAUCCUCGCUCUGCCACUUACCAACAGUAUGAUCUUAGGGAAGUUCUGGAACUUCUCUGUGCCUCCACCUCCUUGCCUGUAAAUGGAGAUCAUGAUAAUACCUGUCUCAGGAUUAUUGUGGAGAAAAUGUAGACAGUUUAGCACAGCACAUAGCACAUAGCAAGAGCUCAGUAACUGUAAGUUCUUAUUGUUCUGACUCUUCAGGAUUAUUAUUAUUACUGACUUUUGAUCAGUUCUGGUAAAUGGUCUGCACACAAUAAUAUUCACCUUACACAAACACCUAAAGAGUUAACUUGACACAUUAGCAGCUGUUUUACCAUCAGCAACAGUCCACAAAGAGACAGCUAAGUUUUUGUUUGCUUGUUUGUUUCUGCCAAUUGAAUUUUAAGAUCCUCUGCUUCACUAUAAUUAACUCUUUGAACUGGCAAGGUGCUUUCAGUGUAAUCACCAGCUGUCAGUUCUUCCUGCCUCUCCCACCUUACACCAGGAGCUCAGGGAUGUGCGUCCUGGGACUCUAUCUUGGGACUUCAGAGUUUUGAGAGCACACAGAGGAACAGGAUGCACCCAUCAUUUAUCUGGAGGUCACUUAAAUAAUUUCUGCAACGAGGAGAGACAAUGUGAAAGAAGGGGAAUUUUAUUUUUUAGCAAACUAACUUGGUAAGUUAAAAAAAAGUAAUUACUUGGAAAUUUUCAGAGUUUUGAGUUUGUUUUAGCAAUGAUCCUUAUAAUAUUGCAAUUUUCAGGUCCCAGUCUCCCUUGGCUUGAUUUUCCCCUUCUCAUUAAUGACAAAUAUGAUACAGGGAAGUUGAAGUGAUACUACCAAAAACCCCUUUGAAUCACAAGCAAGCCAUGUUAUGGAGAUGGCUCCACGUCUGUGUGGACUCUCCAUUAUACUGUAUAUUAUGUAUAUAAUAUUAUCCCAAUCUCCUUCUAUUAUUUUAAACACCAAAUUACUUUCUUUAAUUCUGUUUUAUCGAAACAGUAUUUUUAACCUUCAAAAUAUACAGAUUAUGUACAAUUUAUUGAGGAAAAACCCAGAACUUUGCUUUCCUGGGUGUCUUCUACAGCUGUGCUAAGAAAAAUAGCAAACAUUUCUAGACUGUCUCAAGCCAAACACCAUCCUUCAAGGAGCCUAUCUUUUGUUCUCAAUAAUACUAUGACCUCUUUAAAAAGAAAAAGGAAAAAAAAACUCCGGGAACGGGGGAGCGACUUUUCAAUUCUAUUAUCUCUGGCAUUUUGUACCAGUCUGGGUUUUCUCAAGUCUCGAGACAAGAAGCACAUAUUCGUUUUAGACAUUAAAAAAAAAAGUCCCGAACGCCUUUGCAAUUUCUUCCUUGAGCUGUCUAAAGAGAACUAUUUAUUUUGCUUCUUUACCUUGCAAAUAGCUAACGGCUUCCAGCCAGGGCUCAACCCAACCCUUUGUGCCCUGCAGUCAUGGCUGUGUCUUUAAAAGAAAACCGAUUCUCUGGAAUGCUGUGCGUGCACAUGCCUGUCGGACUCGGCAGGCCCCACCUGCCGAGCAGGUAAACCAGAUCCUCCACACCGGCCUCUGCAGCCACAUUCCAGCCAGGCAAGCUCCUACUCUCUAAUUGUUACCUGUCAAACAGGUCAACCAGGCACUUGGGUCCAGUCCAAACACGCGCAUGUUCCCACGAAACCCUAAACCUGCAAACCUUUGACCUUUUCAUAGGACCCGAGGUCCCUUGAUUAUUUUAGCCGGGGCUGAUUUAAAUCCAAAUGAUGACUUCUUCACAGGCACACAAGUUCUUUUUUCUCCCUCACCAGGGUUGGUAACGCUGAUCAUACACUGUUUGGGGUUUCUGGACUAGCACACCGUGGUAAUUCACGAUGACCGGAAGGCAGACGUUGAAGUGGCAAGGGCUCCUGAAAUGAAAUCCGCUGGCCCUAAAUCACUCAUGGAAAUCGCAGGCUGUCUACCCUGACUAAAUGGGGAGUGAAUUCCCUAGGGUGGAUUAAAGGAGAGGUGAUGCACAGGUGAACAUUCCCUUCCUCUCCAUUCUGGUACUGGGCUGGCAGCGGAGACUGUGGCCGAUGGGCUCAGCUCCAAACCUGGAAGACCUCAAGCAAGGGACGUGAACUCUCUGGGCCUCAGUUUCCCAUCUUUGGUAAAGAGAAGGAAGGCCACACAGGUCAUAAGGCCCGUUCCACCACCAUCUCUAGGUUCUUUCCUUUCAUUGAUGCCACUCAAAGUAGGGGAAUCAUGUUACAGGAAUGCUGAUGCCUCUGCACCCUUGUUAUCUGGGCUGGGUGGGGGCUUGGGUACUGCUGGGGGGACCCUAAAUCAGCUGAGGGCCUGUUUUGUUUAGGUUACCAGGUUUGGGGACUUUCCUCAAGUGUGAAAAAGCCCUGGGCUUCCCCUCUUGGGACAUCAGGAUAUCCAUCUUAGCCUCAGUUACCCCUCUGUAUCUAUCUAGUGAGUUCAGUCUUUUAUAAUUGGGAGAGAUGAUUAUUUCCAUUGUUUUUGUAGCACAGACUAUCCAUUUUAUUCUACUGAAUCAAAACUACAGGCUCCCUGAACCUAGACACUUCAUUUUACAGAUAAAGAACCUGAGACCUAGAGAGGGGGCAUGAGCUGCAGGAUGUCUCUCAAUUAGUCAGGCUCCUCACUUAAGGGACCGUGGGAGUUGGUGAACAUUGCGGGCUAGCAAAAUCAUUGCCAGAGAAGUGACAUCUGAAGAUAUUCCCAAGACUGCUCCAAUUAAGGAAUUUCAAAAAUCCAGGCAAAGAACACAAGCUCUCAAGCAGGUUUCUGAGAUGGGCAGUGCUGUCCGGCCAGUUUGCUGGGGGGUUCUCCUCUCUGGCUGGACAGGUUAUUCUACAAAGAGCUGAGGAUCACUGCGUGCAGAGCAGGAACUAGCACUUCCUGCUCCUUCAUCCAGCUCAGACUUGUCCACCAGAGCCAAACUGGCUGGGCUGGCUCCCGAGAGAGAAACUUCCUUGGGGCUCUGGGAUGGUGGAGUCGGGCAGUCUGCAAGCCGGCUUAGCAUCCUUCUCACCAGCCGCAUGCUUUAGGAAGAGCAAAGCACAGAGUGCACGGGCUCAAGGAGGGAGAUUUCAAUGAGAAGCCCACCUGGCUUGUCUUCUGGGGUGCCGUUAAUUCAAGAGAGCUGCUGUAUGCUGGGGGUGCCAAGACCCCCCCACAGAGGGGCUAUAUGUACUGAAGGGGCCAUCAGAGGUCAAACCGGAUGAAUGGGCACUUCGUCUCCUUGUAAAGACCUCUCGGGGAGCAUGUAAACCACUAUUUAAUUGCUUUAAAAUAAAUAUUAAACAGUAUUCACACA